GCAAUAAGCAAAGCUAAAUAACAUUUUCACAAAUACUCUUAUUUAUAGUUUUAGUAUUAUUAAUCCUAAUCUAAUUAAGCAUUCAACUCAAUUUAAGUAUAACAUUAUAAUAGAAGUUAUACUCUAUCUAAGAUAUAAUUCUCUCUAAAUUACACUAGAAUUUUAAAUAACAAAUAUAAUAUUAGUUGUUGUAACACUAUGCACUUAAAAUAAACUUUACAGAAA
RNAcentral lists this unclassified non-coding RNA (225 nucleotides) under Hevea brasiliensis (rubber tree). The record is from RNAcentral. Lineage: Eukaryota; Viridiplantae; Streptophyta; Magnoliopsida; Malpighiales; Euphorbiaceae.